Molecule: ribosomal RNA, 396 nt
Filed under: uncultured bacterium
Lineage: Bacteria
Description: bacterial SSU rRNA
Rfam family: Bacterial small subunit ribosomal RNA
Source: RNAcentral
AUUGAACGCUGGCGGCAUGCCUUACACAUGCAAGUCGAACGGCAGCGCGGGGCAACCUGGCGGCGAGUGGCGAACGGGUGAGUAAUAUAUCGGAACAUACCCUAGAGUGGGGGAUAACGUAGCGAAAGUUACGCUAAUACCGCAUACGCACUAAGGUGGAAAGUGGGGGAUUCGCAAGAACCUCAUGCUCAUGGAGUGGCCGAUAUCUGAUUAGCUAGUUGGUGAGGUAAAGGCUCACCAAGGCAACGAUCAGUAGCUGGUUUGAGAGAACGACCAGCCACACUGGAACUGAGACACGGUCCAGACUCCUACGGGAGGCAGCAGUGGGGAAUUUUGGACAGUGGGGCAACCCUGAUCCAGCAAUGCCGCGUGAGUGAAGAAGGCCUCGGUUGUAAG